GUGCCAGCAGCCGCGGUAAGACGGAGGGGGCAAGCGUUGUUCGGAAUUAUUGGGCGUAAAGGGCUCGUAGGCGGAUCGGCAUGUCUGGCGUGAAAUCUCCACUGCUCAACAGGGAGGGGCCGCUGGAAACUACCGAUCUGGAGUUCGGCAGAGGACCAUGGAAUUUCGGGUGUAGCGGUGGAAUGCGUAGAUAUCCGAAAGAACACCGGUGGCGAAGGCGGUGGUCUGGGCCGAAACUGACGCUGAGGAGCGAAAGCCAGGGGAGCAAACGGGAUUAGAAACCCGUGUAGUCC
This 293-nucleotide ribosomal RNA is filed under the name uncultured bacterium. Its description in RNAcentral is "partial 16S ribosomal RNA". It matches the Rfam family "Bacterial small subunit ribosomal RNA", at positions 505 to 796 of the family's 1533-position model. The record is from RNAcentral.